Molecule: small RNA, 990 nt
Filed under: Pongo abelii (Sumatran orangutan)
Lineage: Eukaryota; Metazoa; Chordata; Mammalia; Primates; Hominidae
Description: unitary pseudogene
Source: RNAcentral
AUGGAGUUGCUGGAACCCACUGCUCGGCUCUGGCGAUGUGUGUCACUUGCCUGAUUUUCUUUUUGGUGUGGAAGAAAAUUCACACAAGGGAAGGCUUCUCCCAGCCCAACUCCCCUUCCUAUGAUUGGGAAUGGCUGCAACGAAACCCCAAGGAUGCCCUUGCAUCUCUCUCCAAGUUGGCCAAAGAGUAUGGCUCUGUUUACACCCUGUACUUCGGAUCCUGGCCCACCAUGGUGUUCCAUGGAUAUGAAGCAGUGAAGGAAGCUCUGAUUGAUCAGGGUGAUAAAUCCCUUGGCAGAGGACAUAUUCCAAUUAUUGACGAUGCCCAGAAAAGAUAUGGGCUGUUUUUCAGUAAUGGAGAGAAGUGGAAACAAACAUAACGCUUCUCCCUUAUGAUCCUGAGCAACUUUGGGAUGGGAAGAAAAACAUUGAGGAGAGGGUGCAGGAGGGAGCCCAAGGCCUGGUGGAGGAGCUCAGAAAAGCAGAGGCUCAGCCUUUUGACUCCACGUUCAUCCUUGCCUCUGCUCCCUGCAAUUUACCUGCUCCUUCCUCUUCAAGGAGUGUUUCCGGUACAAGAAUGGGUUUGUUAAAUGAAAAUUUUAAGGCCAACUACAAAGUUCAUGAAGAAAUUGAUCAUGUGAUUGGAUGCAAUCAAAGCCGCUCCGUGAAGGACAAGACGAAGCUGGGCCAUCCUGCAUGAGAUACAAUGAUAAAUCACUCUCCUCCCUUCUACUCUGCCCAGUGCUGUGGCCCAGGGCCUAUUCAGACAGUGCACCAUCCCUAAGACUACUGUGUUGCCAUUAUUGUCUCUGGUCUUGUUCAGUUACAAACAGUUUCCCAAAAUGUCUUGGGUCAAACUUAGGACACUUUCUGGAUAAAAAUGGCUGCUUCAACAAAACAGAUUACUUUGUGCCAUUUUCCCUUGGUUCCUUCCUUCCAGGAAAGCAAGCCUGUGUUGGAGAGAGCCUGGCCCACAUAGAGCUGUUCCUA